CAGCAGCAAAGAAUACAUUAUUGAAGAAAAAUAAACAUUUGAACUAGGUAUAACAUCAUAGUGACAAUGUCCGCCUAGUAACAUGGCCAUCCAAUCAGUGUCGUCCUUCUCCUAUAGUAGGCGGAGCAUUGAUGACCACUUCCUCUUUCUUUCUUGCGUAUCCCGAAGAAUAAACUCAAAACUCGGAACAGGAAACCGGAUAAACCAACGAGCCAGAACAAGGUAUGAGACUCCAAGAGCUCCUUCAACCCAGUCAUGCU
Non-coding RNA from Pelobates cultripes (western spadefoot toad), 260 nucleotides. The record is from the annotation of a GenBank genome assembly. Lineage: Eukaryota; Metazoa; Chordata; Amphibia; Anura; Pelobatidae.